This 305-nucleotide ribosomal RNA is filed under the name uncultured bacterium. Its description in RNAcentral is "bacterial SSU rRNA". It matches the Rfam family "Bacterial small subunit ribosomal RNA", at positions 338 to 660 of the family's 1533-position model. The record is from RNAcentral.
ACCACGGGGCGCAGCAGUGGGGAAUAUUGCACAAUGGGGGAAACCCUGAUGCAGCGACGCCGCGUGAGUGAAGAAGUAUCUCGGUACGUAAAGCUCUAUCAGCAGGGAAGAAAAUGACGGUACCUGACUAAGAAGCCCCGGCUAACUACGUGCCAGCAGCCGCGGUAAUACGUAGGGGGCAAGCGUUAUCCGGAUUUACUGGGGGUAAAGGGCGUGCAGCCGGAGAGACAAGUCAGAUGUGAAAUCCACGGGCUCAACCCGUGAACGGCAUUUGAAACUGUUUCCCUUGAGUGUCGGAGAGGAAA